RNAcentral lists this ribosomal RNA (253 nucleotides) under uncultured bacterium. RNAcentral describes it as "partial 16S ribosomal RNA". It matches the Rfam family "Bacterial small subunit ribosomal RNA", at positions 524 to 776 of the family's 1533-position model. The record is from RNAcentral.
UACGUAGGGGGCUAGCGUUGUCCGGAAUCAUUGGGCGUAAAGCGCGCGUAGGCGGCCAGAUAAGUCCGGUGUGAAAGUCACAGGCUCAACCUGUGAAUGCCGCUGGAAACUGUCUGGCUAGAGUCCGGAAGGGGCGAGUGGAAUUCCUGGUGUAGCGGUGGAAUGCGCAGAUAUCAGGAGGAACACCAAUGGCGAAGGCAGAUCUCUGGGCCGUAACUGACGCUGAGGAGCGAAAGCAUGGGGAGCGAACAGG